AUUGAACGCUGGCGGCAGGCCUAACACAUGCAAGUCGAGCGGAGCGGCGGACGGGUGAGUAAUGCCUAGGAAUCUGCCUGGUAGUGGGGGAUAACGUCCGUAAACGGGCGAUAAUACCGCAUACUAUCAGAUGAGCCUAGGUCGGAUUAGCUAUUUGGUGGGGUAAAGGCCUACCAAGGCGACGAUCCGUAACUGGUCUGAGAGGAUGAUCCGUCACACUGGAACUGGGAAAGGGUCAAAACUCCUACGUGAGGCAGCAUUGGGAAAUAUUGGACAAUGGGCGAAAGCCUGAUCAAGCCAUGCCGCGUGUGUGAAGAAGGUCUUCGGAUUGUAAAGCACUUUAAGUUGGGAGGCGUUACCAACAGAGUAAGCACCGGCUAACUUCGUGCCAGCAGCCGCGGUAAUAC
RNAcentral lists this ribosomal RNA (407 nucleotides) under uncultured bacterium. RNAcentral describes it as "partial 16S ribosomal RNA". It matches the Rfam family "Bacterial small subunit ribosomal RNA", at positions 30 to 526 of the family's 1533-position model. The record is from RNAcentral.